UGUGGAAUAUUGUUCAAUGGGCGGAAGCCUGAACCAGCCAUCCCGCGUGAAGGAAGAAGGCCUUAUGGGUUGUAAACUUCUUUUCUGUUUGAAGAAUAAGCUUGUCGUGACAAGUGAUGCCGGUAGGACAGGAAUAAGCAUCGGCUAACUCCGUGCUAGCAGCCGCGGUAAUACGGAGAAUGCAAGCGUUAUCCGGAUUUAUUGGGUUUCAAGGGUGCGCAGGUGGUUUAAUAAGUCAGUGGUGAAAGUCUGCCGCUUAACAGUAGGAUUGACGUUGAUACUGUGGAAGAUGAAUAUGGAUGAGGAAGACGGAAUGUGGAGUGUAGAGGUGAAAUACUUAGAUAUUACACGGAACACCGAGUGCGAAGGCAGCGUACUAACCCAUGAUAGACGCUGAGACACGAAAGCGUGGGGAUCAAA
RNAcentral lists this ribosomal RNA (420 nucleotides) under uncultured bacterium. RNAcentral's name for it is "bacterial SSU rRNA". It matches the Rfam family "Bacterial small subunit ribosomal RNA", at positions 355 to 772 of the family's 1533-position model. The record is from RNAcentral.